CAAUGGCGUAUAUUGCAGUUGGUGUGAUUAAAAGGCUUGUAGUUGAAUUUCUGCAUUGGGGCGCCGGUCCGCCCUUGGGGUGAGAAUCUGGUUGUCCUGUGCAUCUUCUUGGAGAACGCUCUUGUAUUUCACUAUGUCAUUGCCGAAACAAGGACAUUUACGUUGAGGAAAGUAGAGUGUUUCAAGCAGGCUCACGCUUGAAUACAUUAGUAUGGAACAAUAAGAUAGGACCUUGGUUCUAUUUUGUUGGUUUCUAGAACUUAGGUAAUGAUUAAUAGGGACAAUUGGGGGCAUUCGUAUUAACGCGUCAGAGGUGGAAUUCUUGGAUUGCGUUACGACGAACUACUGCGAAAGCAUUUGCCAAAGAUGUUUUCAUUGAUCAAGAACGAAAGUAUGGGGAUCGAAGAUGAUCAGAUACCAU
This 421-nucleotide ribosomal RNA is filed under the name uncultured eukaryote. RNAcentral describes it as "bacterial SSU rRNA". It matches the Rfam family "Eukaryotic small subunit ribosomal RNA", at positions 592 to 1018 of the family's 1831-position model. The record is from RNAcentral.